This 403-nucleotide ribosomal RNA is filed under the name uncultured bacterium. Its description in RNAcentral is "bacterial SSU rRNA". It matches the Rfam family "Bacterial small subunit ribosomal RNA", at positions 975 to 1375 of the family's 1533-position model. The record is from RNAcentral.
CAGCCCUUGACAUCCCGGUCGCGGUUUCCAGAGAUGGAUUCCUACAGUUCGGCUGGACCGGUGACAGGUGCUGCAUGGCUGUCGUCAGCUCGUGUCGUGAGAUGUUGGGUUAAGUCCCGCAACGAGCGCAACCCUCGCCCCUAGUUGCCAUCAUUAAGUUGGGCACUCUAGGGGGACUGCCGGUGAUAAGCCGAGAGGAAGGUGGGGAUGACGUCAAGUCCUCAUGGCCCUUACGGGCUGGGCUACACACGUGCUACAAUGGUGGUGACAGUGGGCAGCGAGACCGCGAGGUCGAGCUAAUCUCCAAAAGCCAUCUCAGUUCGGAUUGUUCUCUGCAACUCGAGAGCAUGAAGUUGGAAUCGCUAGUAAUCGCGGAUCAGCAUGCCGCGGUGAAUACGUUCCC